CCUACGGGUGGCAGCAGUGAGGAAUAUUGGUCAAUGGCCGAGAGGCUGAACCAGCCAAGCCGCGUGAGGGAAGAAUGUCCUAUGGAUUGUAAACCUCUUUUGUCAGGGAGCAAAGUCACCCACGUUUGGGUGUCGGAGAGUACCUGAAGAAAAACCACCGGCUAACUCCGUCCCAGCAGCCGCGGUAAUACGGAGGAUGCGAGCGUUAUCCGGAGUUAUUGGGUUUAAAGGGUGCGUGGGUGGGUUAUCAAGUCAGCGGUAAAAUCGUGGAGCACAACUCCGUCCAGCCGUUGAAACUGAUGAUCUUGAGUGGGCGAGAGGUAGGCGGAAUGCGUGGUGUAGCGGUGAAAUGCAUAGAUAUCACGCAGAACACCGAUUGCGAAGGCAGCAUACCGGCGCCCGAGUGACGCUGAAGCACGAAAGCGUGGGUAUCGAACAGGAUUAGAUACCCUUGUAGUC
Molecule: ribosomal RNA, 459 nt
Filed under: uncultured bacterium
Lineage: Bacteria
Description: partial 16S ribosomal RNA
Rfam family: Bacterial small subunit ribosomal RNA
Source: RNAcentral